GGGGCAGCUGUGAAGGAGGAGUUAUAGACCCAAGAGCUAGGGUGCCACAGUCCACAAGGAAUGGCCAGCUCACUGCCCUUGAGUUAGGGAAACCAGGCUGACACAAUGCAGCACAGCCUUAGACGAAACCAUCCGGAUUCCUUGUGGCCAGGGUCCGGAAGCAAGGGCUGCAAGGGGUGUUGGACUAAUCAAGUUCAUUCCAGACCCGUAGGGCUGGGAUCCUGGAGAAAGGGCUGCUGGAAUCACCUGGGAUGCAGGCAGAUGGGCUGAGGGACUGGAAAGCAGGGAAGGAGAGCAAGAGAAGCAGGUGCAGAACAGGGAAAGCCACCAGAGUCUGGAAAUCUGCUUCUUUAGGGGUCCGGCCCUCAGGCUGAGCAGGGUACUCAGUCUGGGCUAUCAUCCAGGAGGCAUGCCAAUGCUGGGCUAAAUGGGACACAUGCUCUUUGGGGGGGUCCAUUCUGAAGACCACGCCAGCACAUGCCGUCAGGGGAGACUUCUAAGGCACUCCAGAGGCCGGGCUGUCUGAGUGGGAUCCCGGCAUCUCCUCCAGACUCAGCAGCCUGCAGCAUCUUGACAGCACAGCCAUGGGCAGAGCUCCCAGGCGGAGCCCGAGAGAACUGGAAACAAGAACAAGAAGGGCUCUGCUGGGAUGCUGGAAGCCAGACCCAAGAAGACAAAAUAUGAACAUACUUUUAUUUCAAGACCAAAGUUCGACCACACUAACGUUUGAGAGAGAUGCCUGAAGUUCAACACUAGGAAAAGCUCUUCUGUCUCUUUACUCUCCCUGCACAGAGCAAACAGCUGCCAAAUUAAACCAUGGAUCAAUCCAGAGUUUAACUCAACAAGGAUAUUUGAUCAACUGAUCAUUGAGAAUAAAACAUCCUUAUGUACAUUGUAAAUCUCAUGAGUUGAACAAAUAUUCCAAACACAUUUGAUGUUUAAUUCACAUGUUUAAUUCACAUGUUUCCUUGUAUUUGAGAAUAUGAAUAUGC
This 992-nucleotide long non-coding RNA is filed under the name Lepisosteus oculatus (spotted gar). Its description in RNAcentral is "lncRNA (ENSLOCG00000021691.1)". The record is from RNAcentral. Lineage: Eukaryota; Metazoa; Chordata; Actinopteri; Semionotiformes; Lepisosteidae.